UUGAGUUUCUCUUCAUCAUCC
This 21-nucleotide unclassified non-coding RNA is filed under the name Mus musculus (house mouse). Its description in RNAcentral is "oocyte_clustered_small_RNA8919". Lineage: Eukaryota; Metazoa; Chordata; Mammalia; Rodentia; Muridae. The record is from RNAcentral.